RNAcentral lists this ribosomal RNA (347 nucleotides) under uncultured bacterium. RNAcentral's name for it is "partial 16S ribosomal RNA". It matches the Rfam family "Bacterial small subunit ribosomal RNA", at positions 338 to 682 of the family's 1533-position model. The record is from RNAcentral.
CCUACGGGUGGCUGCAGUGAGGAAUAUUGGUCAAUGGACGAGAGUCUGAACCAGCCAAGUAGCGUGAAGGAUGACUGCCCUAUGGGUGGUAAACUGAUUUUAUAGGGGAAUAAAAUGUGCCACGUGUGGGAUUUUGUAUGUACCAUAUGAAUAAGGAGCGGCUAACUCCGUGCCAGCAGACGCGGUCAUACGGAGGAUCCGAGCGUUAUGCGGAUGUAGUGGGUUUACAGGGAGCGUAGGUGUGUUGUUAAGUCAGUUGUGAAAGUUUGCGGCGCAACCGUAAAAUUGCAGUUGACACUGGCAGUCUUUCGUACAGUAGAUGUGGGCGGAAUUCGUGGUGUCGCGGU